RNAcentral lists this ribosomal RNA (253 nucleotides) under uncultured bacterium. Its description in RNAcentral is "partial 16S ribosomal RNA". It matches the Rfam family "Bacterial small subunit ribosomal RNA", at positions 524 to 776 of the family's 1533-position model. The record is from RNAcentral.
UACGGGGGGGGCAAGCGUUGUUCGGAAUUACUGGGCGUAAAGGGCUCGUAGGUGGCCAACUAAGUCAGACGUGAAAUCCCUCGGCUUAACCGGGGAACUGCGUCUGAUACUGGAUGGCUUGAGUUCGGGAGAGGGAUGCGGAAUUCCUGGUGUAGCGGUGAAAUGCGCAGAUAUCAGGAAGAACACCUAUGGCGAAGGCAGCACUCUGGGACGGUACUGACGCUGAGACGCGAAAGCGUGGGGAGCGAACAGG